CCUACGGGUGGCAGCAGUGAGGAAUCUUGGUCAAUGGCCGUAAGGCUGAACCAGCCAAGUAGCGUGAGGGAAGACUGCCCUAUGAGCUGUAAACCCCAUUUAUGCGGGGAAAACGGUGUCAACGUGGGGAGGUUUGCAGGUACCGCAAGAUUAAGGACAGGCGAACUACGUGCCAGCAGCCGCGGUAGUACGUAGGGGGCAAGCGUUAGCCGGGUUUACUGGGUGUAAAGGGAGCGUAGGCCGGUUUUUAAGCCAGAUGUGAAAGUCCGCGGCUCAAACGUGGAAUUGCAUUUGAAACUGGAGGCCUUGAGUGCACACAGGGAUGCCGGAAUUCAUGGUGUAGCGGUGAAAUGCUUAGAUAUCAUGAAGAACUCCGGUCGCGAAGGCAAGUGUCCGGGGUGUAACUGACGCUGAGGCUCGAAAGUGCGGGUAUCAAACAGGAUUAGAUACCCCGGUAGUC
Molecule: ribosomal RNA, 460 nt
Filed under: uncultured bacterium
Lineage: Bacteria
Description: partial 16S ribosomal RNA
Rfam family: Bacterial small subunit ribosomal RNA
Source: RNAcentral